GGUAAAAUGGCCGAGGAAGCAUUAGACUGUAAAUCUAAAGACAGGGGUGGAAGGCCCCUUUUUGCCAU
Molecule: transfer RNA, 68 nt
Filed under: Choloepus hoffmanni (Hoffmann's two-fingered sloth)
Lineage: Eukaryota; Metazoa; Chordata; Mammalia; Pilosa; Megalonychidae
Description: tRNA-Tyr
Rfam family: tRNA
About the family: Transfer RNA (tRNA) molecules are approximately 80 nucleotides in length.
Source: RNAcentral